Molecule: ribosomal RNA, 206 nt
Filed under: uncultured bacterium
Lineage: Bacteria
Description: partial 16S ribosomal RNA
Rfam family: Bacterial small subunit ribosomal RNA
Source: RNAcentral
AGCGCAGGUGGUUUAUUAAGUCUGGUGUAAAAGGCAGUGGCUCAACCAUUGUAUGCAUUGGAAACUGGUAGACUUGAGUGCAGGAGAGGAGAGUGGAAUUCCAUGUGUAGCGGUGAAAUGCGUAGAUAUAUGGAGGAACACCGGUGGCGAAAGCGGCUCUCUGGCCUGUAACUGACACUGAGGUGCGAAAGCGUGGGGAGCAAACA